Pimephales promelas (fathead minnow) is the source of this 274-nucleotide non-coding RNA. The record is from RefSeq and is a predicted model, not a curated record. NCBI's taxonomy places the organism in Eukaryota, Metazoa, Chordata, Actinopteri, Cypriniformes, Leuciscidae.
GUUGUGAUGCCUGUAAUCGAGAUCAUCCGUCGGUGGAACGUCGUUCUCAGUUGGAUAGCUAGCUGAUCCACACAGGUGGAGAUGGACCAUGACGUUGAGAGGGACAGAGCUGGAUGUCAUUUGGCUCUUCAGUGAGCAGGCUCAGAAAACAAGCCUUUUCCAUCUCAAGCAAAUGUAUGUAUUUGUAACGUCCUCUCAGAGCUGAAAAUCCAAGAUGAGACAUAGAAGAUGCCAGUAUCUGAUCGUCCUCCACGCGAUGGGACUCCAUGCCAAG